Molecule: ribosomal RNA, 446 nt
Filed under: uncultured bacterium
Lineage: Bacteria
Description: bacterial SSU rRNA
Rfam family: Bacterial small subunit ribosomal RNA
Source: RNAcentral
UCCAGACUCCUACGGGAGGCAGCAGUGGGGGAUAUUGCACAAUGGGGGAAACCCUGAUGCAGCGACGCCGCGUGAGUGAAGAAGUAUUUCGUUACGUAAAGCUCUAUCAGCAGGGAAGAAAAUGACGGUACCUGACUAAGAAGCCCCGGCUAACUACGUGCCAGCAGCCGCGGUAAUACGUAGGGGGCAAGCGUUAUCCGGAAUUACUGGGUGUAAAGGGAGCGCAGACGGCAGUGCAAGUCUGGAGUGAAAGCCCGUGGCUCAACCACGGGACUGCUCUGGAAACUGUGCAGCUAGAGUGCAGGAGAGGCAGGCGGAAUUCCUGGUGUAGCGGUGAAAUGCGUAGAUAUCUGGAGGAACAUCAGUGGCGAAGGCGACUAUCUGGCACAUAACUGACGCUGAGGAGCGAAAGCGUGGGUAGCAAACAGGAUUAGAUACCCCCGUAA